CGCACGGGUGCGUAACGCGUGGGAAUCUGCCCCUGGGUUCGGAAUAACAGCGAGAAAUUGCUGCUAAUACCGGAUGAUGACAAAGUCCAAAGAUUUAUCGCCCAGGGAUGAGCCCGCGUAGGAUUAGCUAGUUGUGAGGUAAGAGCUCACCAAGGCGACGAUCCUUAGCUGGUCUGAGAGGAUGAUCAGCCACACUGGGACUGAGACACGGCCCAGACUCCUACGGGAGGCAGCAGCC
This 238-nucleotide ribosomal RNA is filed under the name uncultured Sphingomonas sp. Its description in RNAcentral is "partial 16S ribosomal RNA". It matches the Rfam family "Bacterial small subunit ribosomal RNA", at positions 99 to 355 of the family's 1533-position model. Lineage: Bacteria; Pseudomonadati; Pseudomonadota; Alphaproteobacteria; Sphingomonadales; Sphingomonadaceae. The record is from RNAcentral.